RNAcentral lists this non-coding RNA (29 nucleotides) under Rattus norvegicus (Norway rat). Lineage: Eukaryota; Metazoa; Chordata; Mammalia; Rodentia; Muridae. The record is from RNAcentral.
UNCCUAGUGAGUUCUAGGCUAGUUAGGGC